UACAUGUGGGGCAAGCGUUGUUCGGAAUUACUGGGCAUAAAGGGUGCGUAGGUGGUUUGUUAAGUCAGGGGUGAAAUCCCGCGGCCCAACCGUGGAACUGCCUUUGAUACUGGCGACCUUGAGUCCGGGAGAGGUGAGUGGAACUGCGAGUGUAGAGGUGAAAUUCGUAGAUAUUCGCAAGAACACCAGUGGCGAAGGCGGCUCACUGGCCCGGUACUGACGCUGAGGUGCGAAAGCGUGGGGAGCAAACAGG
Molecule: ribosomal RNA, 253 nt
Filed under: uncultured bacterium
Lineage: Bacteria
Description: partial 16S ribosomal RNA
Rfam family: Bacterial small subunit ribosomal RNA
Source: RNAcentral